RNAcentral lists this ribosomal RNA (499 nucleotides) under uncultured bacterium. Its description in RNAcentral is "partial 16S ribosomal RNA". It matches the Rfam family "Bacterial small subunit ribosomal RNA", at positions 899 to 1397 of the family's 1533-position model. The record is from RNAcentral.
ACUCAAAUGAAUUGACGGGGGCCCGCACAAGCGGUGGAGCAUGUGGUUUAAUUCGAUGCAACGCGAAGAACCUUACCUGGGCUCGAAGUGUGGUGUAAACUCGUGAAAGCGGGGUAUCCCUUCGGGGAGCGCUACAUAGGUGCUGCAUGGCUGUCGUCAGCUCGUGUCGUGAGAUGUUAGGUUAAGUCCUGCAACGAGCGCAACCCUUGUCUUUAGUUGCCAUCAGGUAAUGCUGGGAACUCUAAAGAGACUGCCGACGUCAAGUCGGAGGAAGGUGGGGAUGACGUCAAGUCCUCAUGGCCCUUACGUCCAGGGCUACACACGUGCUACAAUGGCCGGUACAGAGCGUCGCAAGACCGCGAGGUGGAGCAAAUCGCAAAAAACCGGUCUCAGUUCAGAUUGCACUCUGCAACUCGAGUGCAUGAAGUUGGAAUCGCUAGUAAACGCGGAUCAGCAGGUCGCGUUGAAUACGUUCCCGGGCCUUGCACACACCGCCCGU